RNAcentral lists this transfer RNA (75 nucleotides) under Bacteroidota bacterium. RNAcentral's name for it is "Bacteroidetes bacterium tRNA-Val". It matches the Rfam family "tRNA". From Rfam's summary of the family: Transfer RNA (tRNA) molecules are approximately 80 nucleotides in length. Their secondary structure includes four short double-helical elements and three loops (D, anti-codon, and T loops). The record is from RNAcentral. Lineage: Bacteria; Pseudomonadati; Bacteroidota.
GGGCGGUUAGCUCAGUUGGUUUAGAGCGCCUGCCUUACAAGCAGGAGGCCGGGGGUUCGAAUCCCUCACCGCCCA